This is a microRNA precursor of Colobus angolensis palliatus, 99 nucleotides long. The record is from Ensembl. Lineage: Eukaryota; Metazoa; Chordata; Mammalia; Primates; Cercopithecidae.
GAGGUGGGGGGAUCGCUUGAGUCUAGGAGUUUGAGGCUGCAGUGAGCUAUGAUCGUGCCACUGCACUCCAGCCUGAGUGACAGAGCAAGACCCUGUCUC